RNAcentral lists this unclassified non-coding RNA (345 nucleotides) under soil metagenome. RNAcentral describes it as "partial contains 5.8S ribosomal RNA, internal transcribed spacer 2, and large subunit ribosomal RNA". The stretch from base 1 to 120 matches the Rfam family "5.8S ribosomal RNA", at positions 35 to 154 of the family's 154-position model. The record is from RNAcentral.
GAUGAAGAACGCAGCGAAAUGCGAUAAGUAAUGUGAAUUGCAGAAUUCCGUGAAUCAUCGAAUCUUUGAACGCACAUUGCGCCCUCUGGUAUUCCGGGGGGCAUGCCUGUCCGAGCGUCAUUUGCAACCCUCAAGCCCGGCUUGUGUGAUGGGUGCCGUCCCCUACGGGACGCGCCCCGAUGGCAAUGGCGGCGUCGCGGUUAUCCGAUCAGCCAAAGUGUAUGGGGCUUUGUCACUCACUUUACGGCCCGGACCGGCGCCAGUCCGAAUCAAUCUUUUUUCUAAAGUUGACCUCGGAUCAGGUAGGGAUACCCGCUGAACUUAAGCAUAUCAAUAAGCGGAGGA